AGGUUACAUCAAGGUGUUAUUUGAACUACUGAUGUCAAUCAUCUUGAUCCAGUGUGUCCAUUUUCCUCUGAACUCUGACAUCGUCAAAGCUUUUUUUAUCCACACAACUAAUGCUCACAAGUUUGCAGGAAUAAUGACCAAUCAGAGGAGAUGAUUAAAGUGGAGAACACUACAACAGUACUUCAACCUACUGAACCUCACCUCCUGAUCUGAUGUCAGUUUUGCUGACAGGCAUCUGCUGUACACCACCGGGGUCAGCAUCUCUGAGAGGGGAUCAGUGCCAAACAGGGAUCAGCUGUCUGCCACUGGCCAGUUUUCAGCUGGAUUUUACCAUCUCCUUCCCUCCAGGACUCCUAUUAGUGUCAAGAAGGCAGCCUAUGUCCAGGUGUGAAGAUGCCUUGCCAGGUGCAAGAUGUGAUAGUAAUUUGUUGUGCCCAUAAUGUCAGUCGGUCUGAUCUUCUGGGAGCACAGCAUCUGACUCUUUGCCUCUGCGGUGUAAACUAAUUAAGUGUUAAAUUUGGUUUCAUACAUCCGUCAUCUAUGUAAACAAUUAACUGCAAUUAGAAGACAAAGUAUGGGAUGAAAGUACGAUUUAUGAGGAUUAUAUCAAGAAUAAUUACUAGUGAUGUAAACACAUACACGUGUCCGUAUUUUACUUUUAAAAAAAAUAAAAG
Long non-coding RNA from Girardinichthys multiradiatus, 674 nucleotides. RefSeq lists it as uncharacterized. The record is from RefSeq and is a predicted model, not a curated record. Lineage: Eukaryota; Metazoa; Chordata; Actinopteri; Cyprinodontiformes; Goodeidae. The transcript has 3 exons.